This 484-nucleotide ribosomal RNA is filed under the name uncultured bacterium. Its description in RNAcentral is "partial 16S ribosomal RNA". It matches the Rfam family "Bacterial small subunit ribosomal RNA", at positions 30 to 507 of the family's 1533-position model. The record is from RNAcentral.
AUUGAACGCUGGCGGCAGGCCUAACACAUGCAAGUCGAGCGGAUGAAGGGAGCUUGCUCCUGGAUUCAGCGGCGGACGGGUGAGUAAUGCCUAGGAAUCUGCCUGGUAGUGGGGGAUAACGUCCGGAAACGGGCGCUAAUACCGCAUACGUCCUGAUGGAGAAAGUGGGGGAUCUUCGGACCUCACGCUAUCAGAUGAGCCUAGGUCGGAUUAGCUAGUUGGUGGGGUAAAGGCCUACCAAGGCGACGAUCCGUAACUGGUCUGAGAGGAUGAUCAGUCACACUGGAACUGAGACACGGUCCAGACUCCUACGGGAGGCAGCAGUGGGGAAUAUUGGACAAUGGGCGAAAGCCUGAUCCAGCCAUGCCGCGUGUGUGAAGAAGGUCUUCGGAUUGUAAAGCACUUUAAGUUGGGAGGAAGGGCAGUAAGUUAAUACCUUGCUGUUUCGACGUUACCAACAGAAUAAGCACCGGCUAACUUCGUG